This 745-nucleotide ribosomal RNA is filed under the name uncultured bacterium. RNAcentral describes it as "bacterial SSU rRNA". It matches the Rfam family "Bacterial small subunit ribosomal RNA", at positions 33 to 773 of the family's 1533-position model. The record is from RNAcentral.
ACGCUGGCGGCAGGCCUAACACAUGCAAGUCGAGCGGUAGAGAGAAGCUUGCUUCUCUUGAGAGCGGCGGACGGGUGAGUAAUGCCUAGGAAUCUGCCUGGUAGUGGGGGAUAACGUCCGGAAACGGACGCUAAUACCGCAUACGUCCUACGGGAGAAAGCAGGGGACCUUCGGGCCUUGCGCUAUCAGAUGAGCCUAGGUCGGAUUAGCUAGUUGGUGGGGUAAUGGCUCACCAAGGCGACGAUCCGUAACUGGUCUGAGAGGAUGAUCAGUCACACUGGAACUGAGACACGGUCCAGACUCCUACGGGAGGCAGCAGUGGGGAAUAUUGGACAAUGGGCGAAAGCCUGAUCCAGCCAUGCCGCGUGUGUGAAGAAGGUCUUCGGAUUGUAAAGCACUUUAAGUUGGGAGGAAGGGCAGUAAAUUAAUACUUUGCUGUUUUGACGUUACCGACAGAAUAAGCACCGGCUAACUCUGUGCCAGCAGCCGCGGUAAUACAGAGGGUGCAAGCGUUAAUCGGAAUUACUGGGCGUAAAGCGCGCGUAGGUGGUUCGUUAAGUUGGGUGUGAAAUCCCCGGGCUCAACCUGGGAACUGCAUUCAAAACUGACGAGCUAGAGUAUGGUAGAGGGUGGUGGAAUUUCCUGUGUAGCGGUGAAAUGCGUAGAUAUAGGAAGGAACACCAGUGGCGAAGGCGACCACCUGGACUGAUACUGACACUGAGGUGCGAAAGCGUGGGGAGCAAAC